ACUAAGGUGGCAGACUAGUGCAAUAGAUUUAAGCUCUAUAUAUAAAUUAAAAUUUCCUUAGUA
This 63-nucleotide transfer RNA is filed under the name Glycera dibranchiata. Its description in RNAcentral is "tRNA-Leu". Lineage: Eukaryota; Metazoa; Annelida; Polychaeta; Phyllodocida; Glyceridae. The record is from RNAcentral.